RNAcentral lists this ribosomal RNA (158 nucleotides) under Ceratocystis corymbiicola. RNAcentral describes it as "5.8S ribosomal RNA". It matches the Rfam family "5.8S ribosomal RNA". From Rfam's summary of the family: 5.8S ribosomal RNA (5.8S rRNA) is a component of the large subunit of the eukaryotic ribosome. It is transcribed by RNA polymerase I as part of the 45S precursor that also contains 18S and 28S rRNA. Functionally, it is thought that 5.8S rRNA may be involved in ribosome translocation. Lineage: Eukaryota; Fungi; Ascomycota; Sordariomycetes; Microascales; Ceratocystidaceae. The record is from RNAcentral.
AAACUUUCAACAACGGAUCUCUUGGCUCUAGCAUCGAUGAAGAACGCAGCGAACUGCGAUAAGUAAUGUGAAUUGCAGAAUUCAGUGAAUCAUCGAAUCUUUGAACGCACAUUGCGCCUGGCAGUAUUCUGCCAGGCAUGCCUGUCCGAGCGUCAUUU